AUUGAACGCUGGCGGCAUGCCUUACACAUGCAAGUCGAACGGCAGCACGGGAGCAAUCCUGGUGGCGAGUGGCGAACGGGUGAGUAAUGUAUCGGAACGUACCUUUCAGUGGGGGAUAACGUAGCGAAAGUUACGCUAAUACCGCAUAUUCUGUGAGCAGGAAAGCAGGGGAUCGCAAGACCUUGCGCUGAUUGAGCGGCCGAUAUCAGAUUAGCUAGUUGGUGAGGUAAAGGCUCACCAAGGCGACGAU
RNAcentral lists this ribosomal RNA (250 nucleotides) under uncultured bacterium. RNAcentral's name for it is "partial 16S ribosomal RNA". It matches the Rfam family "Bacterial small subunit ribosomal RNA", at positions 30 to 280 of the family's 1533-position model. The record is from RNAcentral.